GCAUGUAUCUGUGUUCCCUUGGGAAGGGUUUAUGAAGGCAUCUGUAUGUACAAAGGUCUGAAAAAGAAAAAGUAUAAGGACUAUUGAGGAAUAGAACAGUCCCUUAAAGGAAAAAGCCACCUAAUGAGAAGGAAGGACUGACUGGAGAAGAGCCUAAUGUUGGGAAAGAUUGAGGGCAAAAACAGGAUGACAGAGAACAAAGUUGUUGGAUGGAGUCACUGAAGCAGUAGGCAUGAUCUUAAAUGGACUCCAGAGGAUGGUAGAGGAUUGGAAGGCCUGGAGGAACUUUGUCCAUGGGGUCGCGAUGGGUCGGACACGACGUCACAACUAACAACAACAACAACAACAACAACAACAAAGGAAAAAGCAAGCAUUGGUAUACUGAUUUACUUAGAACCAGCAGAUAUGAAAGGCAAGAAACCAGAGAAAGACCAAUUAUGGCCUGUAGUGGCCAUAAACUGGAGUGAACACCAACCCAGCCCUGUUGUUAAACCAAGCUGCAAUUUCGGAAGCCGGCUUCCAGAAGAGCCCGGAGCAGAAUGGGAAAUGAGCAGCUCAGAACUUCAAGAUGAUUGACAGGAAAACUGUUCGUGGGUCAACUUCAUCGUGCUUUUGAGGAGAAAACGCACAUUUGUAGGAAUCCUAUUUUUGAGAACUUUAGACUGACCACUUGGAAUGUAUAUACUUGGCGACUAUGCUUGUUCUUAAGGCUCAAGAAAGAGGCCAGAAAUUCCAAAGCAGGAGCAUCACUGCAUUGCCUGUGGAGCAACUGGGUACCGUUUCCUGCCAGGCACGAGCUGCGUUAAUUUUGGGGGUGGAGUUAUUACCCCUUUCCUCCAUAUCAUUUGCUCUGUUCUUCUCAUCGACUUGCAAACCUUUGACCCCUGCCUACAAAGAUGAAUCAGGCUUGGUGCUGAAGGCAUUGUAGAUUGGAUUCCCUCUUGCAAAGAUGCAUGUGAGAUGGCGAUGGCCAAAAAAAGUCAAGAGCUGAUUCCAAGGAAGCAAACACCAUCUUUCAACGUUGCUUCAUUCUGAUAAUGGGUUGGAUGGAGGAGUCCUAAGAAGGAAUGAAAUUUGGACAAAACAGAGGUAUAGCAAAGAAUAUAUUGGACUUGAAGUCUGUCAAUGUGAUGGGAUUGUAUUCCCCCAGAAAAAGCAGCUUUGCAGUUUGCAGAUGCUCACUGAUCCCCAAUUCAUCUGGAUUUGUAGUUGGCAGUUGUGAUGAGAAACAUGUUCACACAGUCACAGCUACUGUGCCAUCUGUGACCCUUCUUCAGCCAGAUGGACCUAAUAAAAUUUAUAGAUACAUUAAGAGCCUGGUGGCGCAGCAGACUGAUAGCCUGUUAUUAACAUUCAGCUGUCUGCAAUUACUGUAAGUUCGAAUCUCACCAGGCUCAAGGUGGACUCAGCCUUCCAUCCUUUCUAAGGUAGGUUAAAAGAGGACCCAGUUUGUGGGGGCAAUAAGCUGACUUUGUAUAAAUAUACAAAAGUAUGAAGGCUAUUGCUUAACGCAUUGUAAGCCGCCCUGAGUCUCCGGAGAAGGGCGGCAUAUAAAUCAAAUUAAAAAAAAAAAACAC
Pantherophis guttatus is the source of this 1577-nucleotide long non-coding RNA. RefSeq lists it as uncharacterized. NCBI's taxonomy places the organism in Eukaryota, Metazoa, Chordata, Lepidosauria, Squamata, Colubridae. The record is from RefSeq and is a predicted model, not a curated record.